Molecule: ribosomal RNA, 701 nt
Filed under: Pseudomonas thivervalensis
Lineage: Bacteria; Pseudomonadati; Pseudomonadota; Gammaproteobacteria; Pseudomonadales; Pseudomonadaceae
Description: bacterial SSU rRNA
Rfam family: Bacterial small subunit ribosomal RNA
Source: RNAcentral
GUCGAGCGGUAGAGAGGUGCUUGCACCUCUUGAGAGCGGCGGACGGGUGAGUAAUGCCUAGGAAUCUGCCUGGUAGUGGGGGAUAACGCUCGGAAACGGACGCUAAUACCGCAUACGUCCUACGGGAGAAAGCAGGGGACCUUCGGGCCUUGCGCUAUCAGAUGAGCCUAGGUCGGAUUAGCUAGUUGGUGGGGUAAUGGCUCACCAAGGCGACGAUCCGUAACUGGUCUGAGAGGAUGAUCAGUCACACUGGAACUGAGACACGGUCCAGACUCCUACGGGAGGCAGCAGUGGGGAAUAUUGGACAAUGGGCGAAAGCCUGAUCCAGCCAUGCCGCGUGUGUGAAGAAGGUCUUCGGAUUGUAAAGCACUUUAAGUUGGGAGGAAGGGCAUUAACCUAAUACGUUAGUGUUUUGACGUUACCGACAGAAUAAGCACCGGCUAACUCUGUGCCAGCAGCCGCGGUAAUACAGAGGGUGCAAGCGUUAAUCGGAAUUACUGGGCGUAAAGCGCGCGUAGGUGGUUCGUUAAGUUGGAUGUGAAAGCCCCGGGCUCAACCUGGGAACUGCAUUCAAAACUGUCGAGCUAGAGUAUGGUAGAGGGUGGUGGAAUUUCCUGUGUAGCGGUGAAAUGCGUAGAUAUAGGAAGGAACACCAGUGGCGAAGGCGACCACCUGGACUGAUACUGACACUGAGGUGCGAA